AUUGAACGCUGGCGGCAGGCCUAACACAUGCAAGUCGAACGGUAACAGGAAACAGCUUGCUGUUUCGCUGACGAGUGGCGGACGGGUGAGUAAUGUCUGGGAAACUGCCUGAUGGAGGGGGAUAACUACUGGAAACGGUAGCUAAUACCGCAUAACGUCGCAAGACCAAAGAGGGGGACCCUCGGGCCUCUUGCCAUCGGAUGUGCCCAGAUGGGAUUAGCUUGUUGGUGGGGUAACGGCUCACCAAGGCGACGAUCCCUAGCUGGUCUGAGAGGAUGACCAGCCACACUGGAACUGAGACACGGUCCAGACUCCUACGGGAGGCAGCAGUGGGGAAUAUUGCACAAUGGGCGCAAGCCUGAUGCAGCCAUGCCGCGUGUAUGAAGAAGGCCUUCGGGUUGUAAAGUACUUUCAGCGGGGAGGAAGGGAGUAAAGUUAAGACCUUUGCUCAUUGACGUUACCCGCAGAAGAAGCACCGGCUAACUCCGU
Molecule: ribosomal RNA, 489 nt
Filed under: uncultured bacterium
Lineage: Bacteria
Description: partial 16S ribosomal RNA
Rfam family: Bacterial small subunit ribosomal RNA
Source: RNAcentral